GAUGAACGCUGGCGGCGUGCCUAAUACAUGCAAGUCGAGCGAACAGAUGAGGAGCUUGCUCCUCUGACGUUAGCGGCGGACGGGUGAGUAACACGUGGAUAACCUACCUAUAAGACUGGGAUAACUUCGGGAAACCGGAGCUAAUACCGGAUAAUAUAUUGAACCGCAUGGUUCAAUAGUGAAAGACGGUUUUGCUGUCACUUAUAGAUGGAUCCGCGCCGCAUUAGCUAGUUGGUAAGGUAACGGCUUACCAAGGCAACGAUGCGUAGCCGACCUGAGAGGGGGGUCGGCCACACUGGAACUGAGAAAAGGUCCAGACUCCUACGGGAGGGAGCAGGAGGGAAUCUUCCGCAAUGGGCGAAAGCCUGACGGAGCAACGCCGCGGGAGUGAUGAAGGUCUUCGGAUCGUAAAACUCUGUUAUUAGGGAAGAACAAAUGUGUAAGUAACUAUGCACGUCUUGACGGUACCUAAUCAGGAAGCCACGGCUAACUACGUG
This 497-nucleotide ribosomal RNA is filed under the name uncultured bacterium. Its description in RNAcentral is "partial 16S ribosomal RNA". It matches the Rfam family "Bacterial small subunit ribosomal RNA", at positions 28 to 507 of the family's 1533-position model. The record is from RNAcentral.